This 237-nucleotide long non-coding RNA is filed under the name Olea europaea subsp. europaea. Lineage: Eukaryota; Viridiplantae; Streptophyta; Magnoliopsida; Lamiales; Oleaceae. The record is from RNAcentral.
GAACACUUGAGGGUGUUUGGAUGUGCUGCAUAUGCACACCAAUCUGAAGGGAAACUUGAGUCGAGGGCUGUCAAGUGUGUGAUGUUAGGGUAUCCCGAGGGUGUGAAGGGCUAUAGGUUAUGGGUUUUAGGGGUCCAAGGCAUUAAGAUUAUUAACAGCAGAAAUGUAGUCUUUAAUGAAUCUGAGAUGCCAUGUCUAAAACAGAAAAUCGAAGAAACUAACAAAUAUGAAACUGAG